This 72-nucleotide transfer RNA is filed under the name Camelus dromedarius (Arabian camel). It matches the Rfam family "tRNA". Rfam says of the family: Transfer RNA (tRNA) molecules are approximately 80 nucleotides in length. Their secondary structure includes four short double-helical elements and three loops (D, anti-codon, and T loops). RNAcentral also lists the same sequence under 1 other name. Lineage: Eukaryota; Metazoa; Chordata; Mammalia; Artiodactyla; Camelidae. The record is from Rfam by way of RNAcentral.
GAGGGUAUAGCUCAGUGGUAGAGUGCAUGCCUAGCAUGCACAAGGUGCUGGGUUCAAUCCCCAGAUCCUUCA